This 497-nucleotide ribosomal RNA is filed under the name uncultured bacterium. RNAcentral's name for it is "partial 16S ribosomal RNA". It matches the Rfam family "Bacterial small subunit ribosomal RNA", at positions 28 to 507 of the family's 1533-position model. The record is from RNAcentral.
GAUGAACGCUGGCGGCGUGCCUAAUACAUGCAAGUCGAGCGAACAGACGAGGAGCUUGCUCCUCUGACGUUAGCGGCGGACGGGUGAGUAACACGUGGAUAACCUACCUAUAAGACUGGGAUAACUUCGGGAAACCGGAGCUAAUACCGGAUAAUAUAUUGAACCGUAUGGUUCAAUAGUGAAAGACGGUUUUGCUGUUACUUAUAGAUGGAUCCGCGCCGCAUUAGCUAGUUGGUAAGGUAACGGCUUACCAAGGCGACGAUGCGUAGCCGACCUGAGAGGGUGAUCGGCCACACUGGAACUGAGACACGGUCCAGACUCCUACGGGAGGCAGCAGUAGGGAAUCUUCCGCAAUGGGCGAAAGCCUGACGGAGCAACGCCGCGUGAGUGAUGAAGGUCUUCGGAUCGUAAAACUCUGUUAUUAGGGAAGAACAAAUGUGUAAGUAACUAUGCACGUCUUGACGGUACCUAAUCAGAAAGCCACGGCUAACUACGUG